CCUGCCUGUGCAGGUCGGGAUGUGACCGGCGAGACCUUCGGUCUCGUGGAGGCGGCACCGCCGCCGGGUUGAACCACGCA
Molecule: non-coding RNA, 80 nt
Filed under: unclassified sequences
Description: eL15-Euryarchaeota ribosomal protein leader
Rfam family: eL15-Euryarchaeota ribosomal protein leader
Source: RNAcentral